Molecule: long non-coding RNA, 1500 nt
Organism: Crotalus tigris (Tiger rattlesnake)
Lineage: Eukaryota; Metazoa; Chordata; Lepidosauria; Squamata; Viperidae
Exons: 3
Source: RefSeq, a predicted model, not a curated record
AGAGGAGAAAGGGAGGAGGAGGAGGACUGUGGAGUCCUUGGUGCUCUCUGAGCUUGGUUGUCUUCUUGCAGACACUUCAUGACCCAACUAGGUAACAUCAUCAACAACAAAUAAGGCCUUCUUACUAAUCACCAAUGUCUUAAUCCUGCACACAACUUUAUAACUAUCUAAUUUCUAUCAAUCUUCCUCUUUGUCCAGAUGUUAUGGUUAUAGUCCAGCAUUACGUCACCCUGGCACGCUGCCAGGGAAAAAGGCUCUUUGCAAAUUUUCUAGUUAGAAAAGAGUAAGGUCGACGUAAGGCUGCAUUCUGAUGACUUUGCCCCCAAACUGACCAACCUAGCCUGUCCUAUCUUGGGAAAGGCUGACUUUUUUGCCCUCUUUGGGCUAAGGAAAUAUUAGGGCCAGACUUUUGGCCCACUUUGGGGGUUAGAAAAGAGUAAGGCUAACGUAAGGCUGCAUUCAGUGGGAUUUUAAGGUUAUUAUUCUGCAUCUUUAUUAUGAGAAGCCCCGUUAUUUGUUAUUAAUAGAACAACGGGAGGCCCAAGGGCUGCAGAACAGGCACAGAUGUAGGCAAAAAGGCUCUUUGCACAUGUGCUAGUUAAGAAAAUUUGCAUUCCGAUGACUUCGAUCCACACAGCCUGUCCUAUCUUGGGAAACCCUGGCUUUUUCGCAAACCUCUUUGGGGUAACGUUUAUUUCCUCGUGGGGCUGCUAUUCCUGCCUUGACCACAGGAGGGCGAUGUUAAAUGUCCCGUGCCAUUAGCACCGAAGCCAUCAUCGGCUUUUUUAACUCGGUUUAAGGCUUUGGGAAACGGGUUUCCUGCUUCCGUGCCUGUUCUGCAGCCCCGUCGCUCUGUUACGAUUAACCGGGGGUAUGCAGUUGCCCGUGGCAGGUAGUCCCGCAGCCCCGUUCAGCCAAGCAUAGCGGCGGAGGGAACGAGCCAGCACAGGCAAGAACUUGUUGGUAAGAGAGCCGCCCAGAGCGGCAGAAUGAGGCAAAGACGCCCGGCUCACUUCCGGUUGACCCGGAAGAGAAAGGAGGAGGAGGUGCGGAGACAGCUGCAGCCGUUGGAACAUGGUCAGGCAAGGAAGGCAGCAAGCAAGGAUGCAUGCCGGCAGCCUUUGAGCCGCUCUACAACUGCUGACAUCCGUGCCCGCGGCAGCAAGCAACAGGCAAGAAAGGCAGCAUCAACAGGAGAAAUAUGCGGAUGUCAUUAUCCCUCAAGGCGUGGAUAAUACGGGAGAAUCUACACAAAGGCUAUAGACGAUGAGGGGAAGGCUUCCUGUUAACAGUUUCCUGGGUUUGAAUUGCAAAUGGGAAAACAGCGAUCGCAACUGAAAGAUUACACCACUUGGACUGAUCCCAGGAUGACAAGAAGGCCAUCUUACCUUCCUGGUCUUCACCGUUGACACGCAACAAUCUCCAUCGUCAUAGUUGCAAAAGGCUCGGUUGUUGACCGGAUCACAAUAAUUGUCUCCCCCAAAAGGCUGGAAAAGAAAA